Molecule: long non-coding RNA, 648 nt
Filed under: Canis lupus familiaris (dog)
Lineage: Eukaryota; Metazoa; Chordata; Mammalia; Carnivora; Canidae
Description: lncRNA (ENSCAFG00000055259.1)
Source: RNAcentral
AUAUCAAUAAAUAAAUAUUGGGAUUUUUACAGGCUAAGACUUAGCCAUCAAAGAGAAGAUGGAGAAAGAAGACUCCAGGCAGAAGGGACAACAUAACAAAGGCAAGAAGGAGGAAGUACAAGGCUGUGACCUGCAUCCAGAGAGAAAAGAGGGUCAAAGUAGCCUUCCCAGAGGGCAUGUGUCUGUCUGUGAAGGGGACACCUGAGCAGUAGAAUCCUCCCUUGCCCAGAGGCCAGUGGAGUUUUCGGCUAAUUCUCCAAAAUCUAAUGAAAUACUUCCUCUGCAGAAGUCAAAGGUAUGUCAGAGAUACACAACUUAAAAUUUUACUCUUGACAUAAGAACUGCUUUCAACGGGGGCAGCACAAGAGACACAAGGCCCAGGCACAAGGUGUUUGAUAUAGUCAAUCAGUCUAUACUAGGAGAAAAAGUCAGUUUAUACUGGUAGGAAAAGAGAAACUACUGGAAAGCAGUGCCAGAUUAGGGCAUUUUGAAAUGGCUACAGUUUGGAAAGUUUAUGCUAAAGCUAAGAACAGUUCCCUGCAUCUCUUUUUAUUCCUUUUGGGAAACUCCUGGUCUUGUCUUGCCUUGGUAGAGAAAGCUUAAACCAGACUGUGACCAGAGCAUGUAUCAGGAGAGGCCUCCCACUCC